RNA transcript from Aegilops tauschii subsp. strangulata, 845 nucleotides. RefSeq lists it as uncharacterized. The record is from RefSeq and is a predicted model, not a curated record. Lineage: Eukaryota; Viridiplantae; Streptophyta; Magnoliopsida; Poales; Poaceae.
AUGACAUGGCCUAAGCGUUGUGUAAAGUCGGUUUUUCUCGUCAACCGUGAGUGCACAAGAGUGGUAGCGGGCCCGGCCGUCCAUGGCGACGCGUCGUCGACAUCGCAGCCUCGUCCGUUCCGCGAGGCGCGAGCUUAUAAAAUGGCUGCUGAGGAACUUCAUUUCAGCAAACGGUGCGUCCAUCUCAAAUCAGAAGCUAUCAAACCAACGAAGAAGAGCAGUAAAGCCGUGCUUAAUCGAGUGCAAGGUCCCGUCCGCAUCAUCUCAUCAAGGACCGAUGGCGUUUCUGGGAGGAUCAUUGAACGUGACGAGGAGCAUUGACAGCCGAAAGAGGAUGGACGGGAGGAAGAGCGGCGGCCGGUCGUGGCGGCAGGCGCCGGCGCCGGUGAGGCAGCUGUUCUGGUGGGUGAGGCGCGCCAUGCUUUGGCCGAAGCGCCGCGCCGUGAGCUUCGGGGACGGUGGAGGACGACGACCAUGGCACGAGAAGGUUCGUAGCAUCCAUGACAACAUCUGACGCUAAUGAGGGUCGCUUGUCGGUAGCGCAAAUGAUCAUUUUGUGGUGUGAGGAUGGUGGCCAUCGCACUCGUGGCGCCAUUGGCAACACAUCCGACGCAGGGGUUCCAAUGGUAUGGUGGAUACUUCAGUAUGACUCAUGCCGAUGUGAAUUGGUAGUGGUCAGUUCCGCCCAAACAUAGGCGGCCCCUGACAGCCUUAGUAAUGGUCCGAGUGUUGGAAAUAUGCCCUAGAGAUCAAUAAUAUUAAAAAAAUCAAGUUUAUAAUUAAUAUUUAUAUUCUAUGCUACAAUUGAUAUAUUUCUUGAAUAUGCGAUUCAAAGGAAAACACCA